This 369-nucleotide ribosomal RNA is filed under the name uncultured Brevundimonas sp. RNAcentral's name for it is "bacterial SSU rRNA". It matches the Rfam family "Bacterial small subunit ribosomal RNA", at positions 545 to 917 of the family's 1533-position model. Lineage: Bacteria; Pseudomonadati; Pseudomonadota; Alphaproteobacteria; Caulobacterales; Caulobacteraceae. The record is from RNAcentral.
AGAGCAUGACUGGGUUUAAAGCGCGUAGGCGGACAUUUAAGUCAGGGGUGAAAUCCCGGGGCUCAACCUCGGAACUGCCUUUGAUACUGGGUGUCUUGAGUGUGAGAGAGGUAUGUGGAACUCCGAGUGUAGAGGUGAAAUUCGUAGAUAUUCGGAAGAACACCAGUGGCGAAGGCGACAUACUGGCUCAUUACUGACGCUGAGGCGCGAAAGCGUGGGGAGCAAACAGGAUUAGAUACCCUGGUAGUCCACGCCGUAAACGAUGAUUGCUAGUUGUCGGGGAGCUUGCUCUUCGGUGACGCAGCUAACGCAUUAAGCAAUUCCGCCUGGGGAGUACGGUCGCAAGAUUAAAACUUAAAAAAUUACGGA